GUGAACGCUGGCGGUAGGCCUAACACAUGCCAGUCGAACGGCAGCACAGUAAGAGCUUGCUCUUACGGGUGGCGAGUGGCGGACGGGUGAGGAAUACAUCGGAAUCUACUUUUUCGUGGGGGAUAACGUAGGGAAACUUACGCUAAUACCGCAUACGACCUACGGGUGAAAGCAGGGGAUCUUCGGACCUUGCGCGAUUGAAUGAGCCGAUGUCGGAUUAGCUAGUUGGCGGGGUAAAGGCCCACCAAGGCGACGAUCCGUAGCUGGUCUGAGAGGAUGAUCAGCCACACUGGAACUGAGACACGGUCCAGACUCCUACGGGAGGCAGCAGUGGGGAAUAUUGGACAAUGGGCGCAAGCCUGAUCCAGCCAUACCGCGUGGGUUAAGAAGGCCUUCGGGUUGUAAAGCCCUUUUGUUGGGAAAGAAAAGCAGCAGGUUAAUACCCCGCUGUUCUGACGGUACCCAAAGAAUAAGCACCGGCUAACUUCGUG
RNAcentral lists this ribosomal RNA (491 nucleotides) under uncultured bacterium. Its description in RNAcentral is "partial 16S ribosomal RNA". It matches the Rfam family "Bacterial small subunit ribosomal RNA", at positions 29 to 507 of the family's 1533-position model. The record is from RNAcentral.